This is a small nucleolar RNA of Arachis stenosperma, 107 nucleotides long. The record is from RefSeq and is a predicted model, not a curated record. Lineage: Eukaryota; Viridiplantae; Streptophyta; Magnoliopsida; Fabales; Fabaceae.
AUCUUGUGGUGAGGACAUGAGUCUAGGAGAUUCUUGAAGCGUUCUCAAUACUCAUAGAGGGUCUCUGAUUUACCUUGAAUGACACAAGAAAUCUCCUUCCUCAAUCU